CACCCCCCCAAAAGGAAAAAAAAAAAAAAAGCAGCAGGAUUUCUUGUAAUUCUUGAUUUGCUUUGAAGAGUCAAAGAAAAUGGAGAGAUCUUCACUCAAAGUGGCCUUCUUGUUGGUCCUCUUCGUUAGUAGCUUAUGUUAUGUACAUGGAACUGAUCCCAAUAAGCAGAAAUGUGAUGAAGAGAUUUGCAUAAGAAAGUGCCCUGGUGAAUGCUAUACUCUGUGUACUGUUGAAGGGCAGUGUCGGUGCAAGCUUAGUGAAAGGGAGAGUUUUCCUUGCGAUGGCUAAAAAAAGACCAUCCAUCUUCUGUAUUCCAAUAAUAAUAAGCACAUCAGUUUAGUUUUCCAAUAAAACGGGCCGGGACUACUGUCUAUAUAUCCAUCUCUAUACCAGUACA
Long non-coding RNA from Tripterygium wilfordii, 398 nucleotides. RefSeq lists it as uncharacterized. The record is from RefSeq and is a predicted model, not a curated record. NCBI's taxonomy places the organism in Eukaryota, Viridiplantae, Streptophyta, Magnoliopsida, Celastrales, Celastraceae. The transcript is spliced from 2 exons.